Non-coding RNA from Lolium perenne, 1020 nucleotides. The record is from RefSeq and is a predicted model, not a curated record. Lineage: Eukaryota; Viridiplantae; Streptophyta; Magnoliopsida; Poales; Poaceae.
UCUAUGGAGUAGAUAAGUGUUUGGUUUUCUUUGUUAUCAAGUUGAUAGGCCAUGUUAGCGUGACGUUAUUCUGUGACAUGGAAUCUAUGGUCUGCAUAGCAUUGUAUGAGCAUAUGGUUCAGUCUAUGUUAUGUUCCUUAAUGGUCACCGCUGUACAUGUUCCUUUCUGUUUGGAGUCUGAUAUAAGCGAUAAUGAUCUCUGUAAAAUUAGUAAUGUCCCAAGUCAUGCAUUCUCUGAAGAAGUACAUGCUUAUAUUUGAGCGAAUUUUUUUUAAGCGAUGCAGUAGACUAGUAGUAUUGUUUAAUGAAUUAUUCUUAUUCUCAUGGUCUCGGUUGUAUACAUUGUUGAUAUACUAUACAUCAUAUUUUCCUCCAGUAGCAGUAGUAGUACUACUAAUUUACUAUAUAGUCAUAUAGUAUACCACAUGUAUACAUGAUAUUUUCCUCCAGUAGCAGUAUUACUAAUGGUUUAUGUAUAGCCAUAUAAGUAUACCAUGUCUAAAAAAAUUCGUUUCUAUCAUCAAUUUGGUAGCCCAGGUCCUCAAGUACUUAAUAUGUACAUCAUGAGCUUUUAUAACUUAUUUUGAGUUUGCUUUUAACACCUUGGCCUUGUUAUUCGAGAAGAUGCCACUGGCAACAUACUUGGCCACAGGAGCAGUACAAGAACAGGAAGAUUCAGUGCUACUGUUACUGAACUACACGGCCAGGUGGUUGUAGGUAGCCAUCUGUUGGGAAAUAAUGCUGGAGCGAGCGGUGCACACUGGAAGCAGUUGGCAGGUUGCCGUGAUCACAUCAACUAUUAUCUAGCUUGCCUACAAGAAGUCCUGAUGAUGCAGCAGCUACAAGGCGGACCUGUAGGUUGGGAGAGGUCAUGCUAAUGCAGUUGACAGGCGUUUGAUAGCUAUGUUAUUAUUGCGUUUGAUAGCUAUGUUAUCAUUGUAUUUAUCUGACUAAAGCCGUGGAAAUAGUGUAACGGAUUUGGAUUUCUUGUAUUCUUCAGUUCUGAUUAAAUUACUUGUU